Rhinopithecus bieti (black snub-nosed monkey) is the source of this 2585-nucleotide long non-coding RNA. The record is from Ensembl. NCBI's taxonomy places the organism in Eukaryota, Metazoa, Chordata, Mammalia, Primates, Cercopithecidae.
CUGAACUAGAAAACUGAUGAAUUGUAAAGUAGACACUGUGACUGCUGGCUUCCAAAUUCUACUGCUUCUGUCACAAUAUGGGGCCCCAAAAUGGAUGCCCUGCACCCUGUCUCUCGCUCCAUGCAACUUCGAUCUGAAUGAAAGUCUUAUGACAUAGGAGGCUCUGCAACAGCAUAUUCUACAAAGAAAAAGAUAAAUGAGCAGAAUUCACUCUAAGAUUCGCCAUGGAUAUUUACUAGUCAACUUGAUGUCCCAAACCAUCUGCCUAUCUAACACAGCUGAUCUUAAGUCCACUGUUGGAUGCCCCUUAACCAAGGACUUAAGGCUCAAAUAUUUGAAGAACGCUGGAGUCAGGAGACCAGGAUUUCAGAUCUGAUUGACACUAACUAGAAUGGUAACUCAAUGACCUCUCCCAUUAUAAAGAAAUACUGACACCUCUAGUUUGUACAGGAAUAGCAACAUCUCUACAUUGUCAAUAUGAAGCCAUAUCUUUAAGAAAAGAAGACAAAUAUGUCAGGAAAACAUAGAAAAGCCAAGUGUGGAAGCUAAAAUCUGAAAAAAAUGAAAGGAUGCUAACACAGGGUCAUGCCUUCUGAGAGGUUUGUUAUCGAUUGAUGAGAGGUUGCAACACUGGAUACAGAAGAAAGUUUCUCAUCCAUAUGGAGGGGAGCCUGCUACUGCUUUUUUGAAAAAGAGAAAAGAGGUUUAAAGAAGAGGAUCAAACAAGAAAUAAACAAGAAAAAAACAAGAAGUGCAUCUUGCUUCAUAUAUUCCUGAAAAUUCCUAUAUAAUUGGAAUCUGUUUUUAAAGCCCAAGUAUAUUUGUCAUCUAGAAUAUCAUAGUAACCCUUAUGGUACAUUGUCAAGAAAGCAAAACUUCACAGGCAUACCUUCAUUUUUAAAAACAUUGAUAUAGACUUUCACAUUCAUAAUUAAUUUUGCUGAAAGUGGGGUCUCCCCAUAUUGCAAUGCAAUGGGGAUACUGGAGUUUUAAAACUUUAAGACUCAUUCGCAGCAGCAGCAAAGAAUAAAAAGAGAUACAAUCACUGAUGCUUCUACUCCUUCGACAGUUUUAGCCAGUUUUUUGAAGUAACCAUCUGUUUUCUUUCCUCUAGAUAAGUCUAACCUGCUUUAUAAACUUUUUUUCACUCUCACCUUCCCUCCUUUACCCCACCCAUUGCCAAUGUCCUUCUACCUGUGGCAUUUCACACUUGGGGAGAGCUGCUAAUGGUUGACAACAAAGGGACUGCUAAUCGCACCAAUUAAGAGGUGUGAAUGUCACUCGUUACCUUCCAGCUUUGCUACUGAACAUGUUAAUUACUAAUUGUACAGGUGCAGGCUUUUAAGUUCACAAGGUUAACAGUGAAGCACAGCUUUGUUUGAGCUGUUGGUUUAAAUAUUGAAAAAUCAUGGGUAAAGGGCUGAUCUCCAUUGAAGAAUGAACAGAUGCCAUUGCUGUACUUUCCCAGACGGAAAAUCUUUAGACUGAGUUAGCAAUAUAAUUGACCUUCAAGAAGUGAUUCUCUGUGGUGAAUCUACCAAAGAACAGGUGUUUGUGGUUCUCUUACUUUUCAAGGAGAAGCAGGGCACUUCCCUUAUGUCAUAAGACUAUGGAACUCUACCAGAAGGUCAGUUGAGGGUAAUCUGCAAGAAGUGUGUAGAGUUAAUUAAAAGAAAAUCCUCUGGAGAGACUUUUUGUAAGCUCAAGGUUUCUAUAUUCAUCUCUUUCUGAAAGCUUUACUCAUUCAUGAUUCAGUAUUAUAGAUAUGUCCUUUGGACUUCUUUUUUAAAAGUUUUGCCUAACAAAACACCUGGAGGAGGGAACCUGUUUCAGAAUCACAUACCUUCAACUUGAUGGGAAUCUCAAGAGAUCACACUGAGUGGCUUCCACUUAGAGAAGGUAACAAGACCACUUUACAGGGAAAGACAACAAAGGUCCAAGAUAUUAUACAACUCGCUCAAGGCCACUACAUCAAGAUUAAGUUGGAUUUGCAAAGUGAGUUAGAUUUUGGAAAAAGCUAACCUUCAAUUGUUCUCCAGGGGAAUGAGUAAUUACUAUGAGGAGCUGGUAAUUUUUAGCUUGUCCUCAGGCCUACUGAAAUAUCUUUGCUCUUUCCUGCAUCUGUAAGAGCAACUGUUGUUUUCAGUCAUUCAAGUAGAAAGUGUGCGGUAAGUGCCUCUUCUAUUUUUGUGGUAGACUCCACAACAAAUAAAGAAAGUCUCUCUGGGAAGCCCAAGGGUGGCUUCUUGGAACAUAAACUGCAAGAUUUUGAGAGUUAUUGUGCAAUAGAAAACCAGUUGAUGGAUUUGAGACCAGUGACCUGUGAGUACCAUGCUCCUUGCUCGUGAUGUAUCUCUCUGGUCAUCUGCCUGAUAGCAAGGGAUAAAAGUGGAGGUACUAUAGUAGAAUGCCUAGGAGUACAGGCUGCUCUCUAAACCUAGGGGGUAAAUCUAACGCUCCUUUAACCCAUGAUUAAAUGAAUGAAUGAACUCCAAAUUCUUCACAUGUGCUUGGCACAUUGUAAAUUCUCAAGAAAUCACUGCUAAACCUCUUAUCCAUGUAACCAAACACCACCUAUGCCCUCA